GGCGGAGUAGCUCAGCGGUUGAGCAGCUGGCUGUUAACCAGCGUGACGUGGGUUCAAAUCCCACCUCCGUCGCCA
This 75-nucleotide transfer RNA is filed under the name Deltaproteobacteria bacterium. RNAcentral's name for it is "tRNA-Asn". It matches the Rfam family "tRNA". From Rfam's summary of the family: Transfer RNA (tRNA) molecules are approximately 80 nucleotides in length. Their secondary structure includes four short double-helical elements and three loops (D, anti-codon, and T loops). Lineage: Bacteria; Pseudomonadati; Myxococcota; Myxococcia. The record is from RNAcentral.